This 99-nucleotide ribosomal RNA is filed under the name uncultured bacterium. Its description in RNAcentral is "partial 16S ribosomal RNA". It matches the Rfam family "Bacterial small subunit ribosomal RNA", at positions 1384 to 1482 of the family's 1533-position model. The record is from RNAcentral.
UACACACCGCCCGUCGCACCAUGGGAGUGGGUUGCACCAGAAGUAGCUAGUCUAACCUUCGGGAGGACGGUUACCACGGUGUGAUUCAUGACUGGGGUG